Molecule: unclassified non-coding RNA, 720 nt
Filed under: uncultured bacterium
Lineage: Bacteria
Description: partial contains 16S ribosomal RNA and 16S-23S ribosomal RNA intergenic spacer region
Rfam family: Bacterial small subunit ribosomal RNA (bases 1-275)
Source: RNAcentral
AACCCUUCGGGGUUAGCGGCGGACGGGUGAGUCAACACGUGGGCAACCUACCUUGUAGAUGGGGAUAACAUCGAGAAAUCGGUGCUAAUACCGAAUAACACUUUUCUCCACAUGGAGGAAGGUUAAAAGUUGGCUUUUGCUAACACUACAAGAUGGGCCCGCGGCGCAUUAGCUAGUUGGUGAGGUAACGGCUCACCAAGGCGACGAUGCGUAGCCGACCUGAGAGGGUGAUCGGCCACACUGGGACUGAGACACGGCCCAGACUCUUACGGGANNNNNNNGGGGGGCNCCUCUCUCUCUGGUGCUCUACCGAUUGUUGCGAUAAAAGUCCACCACACACGGACCAUCCAUCACGGGCGCCGAAAUCCGCUACGUUCCUACACUGCUUCGUUUAAAAAAUCAGACUAUGAUCCGUAUUCGCCGGGGGGAAAACACACAUACAGACCCGAUGAUAUCUAGUUAAGUCAUUCCGUGAACCGCUCCGUACGUUUGACGAAGAGUGCUCACCCCACACUCGUUAUGCAAUAUACUUAAUCUCAACUCAACAAACAAGAAAAAGUCAAUAAUAGAAUAAAUAUAAUGUAAGAAUAAAAUAUAUCUCACUCCGCCGGUCCACUCACCCCCCUCCUCUUUUGCACGGCUCCGCCACGUACCAAGCACAGCAACUCACAGAGACACAGCACACACCCACACAACCUACACGCCCACACCCCCACACAC